UGUCUCAGUUCGGAUUGGAGUCUGCAACUCGACUCCAUGAAGCUGGAUUCGCUAGUAAUCGCGCAUCAGCCAUGGCGCGGUGAAUACGUUCCCGGGCCUUGUACACACCGCCCGUCAAGCCAUGGAAGCCGGGAGUGCCUGAAGUGUGCAACCGCAAGGAGCGCCCUAAGGUAAAACUGGUGACUGGGGCUAAGUCGUAACAAGGUAAC
RNAcentral lists this ribosomal RNA (209 nucleotides) under uncultured bacterium. RNAcentral's name for it is "partial 16S ribosomal RNA". It matches the Rfam family "Bacterial small subunit ribosomal RNA", at positions 1284 to 1500 of the family's 1533-position model. The record is from RNAcentral.